UACGGAGGGUGCAAACGUUGCUCGGAAUUACUGGGCGUAAAGCGUGCGCAGGCGGUUCGUUGUGUCCGUCGUGAAAGCCCCGGGCUUAACCUGGGAACUGCGAUGGAAACUAGCGAGCUGGAGUGUGGCAGAGGGGGGUGGAAUUCCGCGUGUAGCAGUGAAAUGCGUAGAGAUGCGGAGGAACACCGAUGGCGAAGGCAGCCCCCUGGGCUAACACUGACGCUCAGGCACGAAAGCGUGGGGAGCAAACAGG
This 253-nucleotide ribosomal RNA is filed under the name uncultured bacterium. RNAcentral's name for it is "partial 16S ribosomal RNA". It matches the Rfam family "Bacterial small subunit ribosomal RNA", at positions 524 to 776 of the family's 1533-position model. The record is from RNAcentral.